UGGAGAGCUAAGAGAACGAAAGCUCCAGGGAGGAAGGUGACAUCACAGACCGAAAAGCCCUUCUUUCCUCCCCCAACACAUGCACACUCAGCAGUGGCUUGGUAAGCUGAGUUCAGCCGGCUGCCCCUAGAUGGCAGUGUACGCACAUAGCAGGAGCUGCCCAGCAAAACUCCCCAGGGACAGCAAGGGUCUCCCAUGGGACCAGCAGAAGCUCACCAGGGCUGUGAGAGGGACCAGGAGAGGCACCCAUGAUGCCUGCUGCAUCCACCUAUGCUCUGCUUUGCUGCAGGGGCACAGUCUUGGGUGGAAGAUUGGACAUAAAGCCAAUGGUUCUGGUUCGACCAUUUACGGGCUGAAGUGACUCCCUGAGACUACUUUGCACAUUCGUUUUUUAAAUGCGUACCUUCAUGAAGCCCAGUUCACGUGAGAUUAUUCCAGAAGGAAUGCUUCUACACCGUCAGUUUAUGGAUGGGAUGAACGAGGUGAGAAAGCCAAUCACCAGCACAGAUAACAUGGCCUCAGCCUCAAUCAUUAAAGUGUGCUCCACCACACAAGUCAGACCCUCAUGUUCACACGUGAGUUCCUACCACAAAUCUCUACAGUCUUGUAGGAGACACAAUCGGAGGGCAGGGGGCCCAUGGCUGAGGCUGCAGAUGCAAACAGAAGCAAGAGGCCCUUGGAAGUUUGCAGAUUCUUUAAAAUAGAUGGUUCUGGAACCAACACAGCAGGCAUUGGGUGACAGGCCAACCACUCGAAACUGGGGAUCCCUCCUUCCUUCCUGAAACAUUCGUUUCCCUUGACUUCCACACACCACCCCUUCUUUUUUUUUUUUUUAAACUUUUUUAAUGUUUAUUUAUAUUUGAGAGAAA
Molecule: long non-coding RNA, 869 nt
Organism: Prionailurus viverrinus (fishing cat)
Lineage: Eukaryota; Metazoa; Chordata; Mammalia; Carnivora; Felidae
Exons: 3
Source: RefSeq, a predicted model, not a curated record